Molecule: ribosomal RNA, 440 nt
Filed under: uncultured bacterium
Lineage: Bacteria
Description: partial 16S ribosomal RNA
Rfam family: Bacterial small subunit ribosomal RNA
Source: RNAcentral
CCUACGGGUGGCUGCAGUGAGGAAUAUUGGUCAAUGGGCGCGAGCCUGAACCAGCCAAGUCGCGUGAGGGAGGACGGCCCUACGGGUUGUAAACCUCUUUUGCCGGGGAGCAACGGGCGUCACGUGUGGCGCCACUGAGAGUACCCGGAGAAAAAGCAUCGGCUAACUCCGUGCCAUCAGCCGCGGUAAUACGGAGGAUGCGAGCGUUAUCCAGAUUUAUUGGGUUUAAAGGGUGCGUAGGCGGAUCGUUAAGUCAGUGGUCAAAUUGAGGGGCUCAACCCCUUCCCGCCAUUGAAACUGGCGUUCUUGAGUGGAAGAGAAGUAUGCGGAAUGCGUGGUGUAGCGGUGAAACGCAUAGACAUCACGCCGCACCCCGAUUGCGAAGGCAGCAUGCCGGCUUCCGCCUGACGCUGAAGCACGAAAGCGCCCGGCUCGAACAG